AGAUUGAACGCUGGCGGCAUGCCUAACACAUGCAAGUCGAACGGGAGUAGCAAUACUCUAGUGGCGGACGGGUGAGGAAUACGUAGGAAUUUGCCCUUAAGUGGGGGAUAGCCCGGGGAAACCCGGAUUAAUACCGCAUGACCUCGAAAGAGCAAAGUGGGGGAUCGCAAGACCUCACGCUUUUGGAGAAGCCUACGUCGGAUUAGCUAGUUGGUGAGGUAAUGGCUCACCAAGGCGACGAUCCGUAACUGGUCUGAGAGGAUGAUCAGUCACACGGAACUGAGACACGGUCCGGACUCCUACGGGAGCAGCAGUGGGGAAUAUGGACAAGUGGGCGCAAGCCUGAUCCAAGCAAUGCCGCGUAGUGUGAAGAAGGCCGUUGGUUAGUAAAGCGUAACUUUAAGGUUAGGGAAGAAAAACUCGACUCUAACUACGAGUGAGUCUUGACCGUACCGACAG
RNAcentral lists this ribosomal RNA (459 nucleotides) under uncultured soil bacterium. RNAcentral's name for it is "bacterial SSU rRNA". It matches the Rfam family "Bacterial small subunit ribosomal RNA", at positions 26 to 489 of the family's 1533-position model. The record is from RNAcentral.